This 4213-nucleotide unclassified non-coding RNA is filed under the name Hevea brasiliensis (rubber tree). Lineage: Eukaryota; Viridiplantae; Streptophyta; Magnoliopsida; Malpighiales; Euphorbiaceae. The record is from RNAcentral.
GGCCCACUUCAUUUUAUUUAUCAAAUUAUUGAUCCCCUUAUUGGCAUUGCAUACCUCAACAUUGUUUUAGAGGGGGGAAAAAUUAAUUGACCUCAUUCAAGUCCGUUAAUUAUAUAUACUUGAUUUUUCCAAAGCUAGGAUCAUCAAAAACACCCUAAUGGCUGGCUAAUUAACAUCUUUAUGUACCCUAACCUAUUGAGAUCUCUUGUACAAGGAUAUUGCUAUUGAUUUUUGGAAGCAUAACUAGCCGAGGAAGACGAGUAAGCAAGUGAACAAUGAGAAGAGUUUUGAAGCAGCAACAGCUGAGCCGGGGUCACUGAGGACGAUGAAUACGACGGGGUAGUUUCUGUGGCUUUUGUGGAGUUAUUGGUGGUCGGCUUGUGGGCCUCGCUCCCUACUGCAGGCUCGUGUCGAAUUUCUUUCAAUAAUACUGCUACAUCUUUCAUUGUCGGGCGAUCCUCUGCGCGAUUGCUCGUGCAAAGGAGAGAGAUUCCCAGUGCUUGAAGCAUUUCUUGUAUUUGUGUAUCCGGGUGGCCUUGUAGUUUUUGAUCAAGAAUCUCCACUGGGUCCUUCUUACUCUUCAGCUGCUCCCUCACCCAUUGGAUCACAUGUUGGCCCUCAGGGAAUGAUGGAUCCACUGGCUUUUUUCCUGUUAUCAUCUCCAAAAGCACUACUCCAUAGCUAUAAACAUCGCUCUUCUCCGUGAUUUUCAGCAUGCAUGCAUAUUCUGCAAGUUUCAAACCAUUUUUGUAAGCAUGCAACACACAAGACGACAAUUAAAUGUAAUACCCAUUUUAAACUCUUAAUUAGCACAAAAAACCCCGUCUUGGUUAAGUCUCCAACAAUCUAAUCACCCCAUUUGUCUCAUCCCCUACAUGAUAUUCAGAUAGAAAGCGACUCCAACUUCCCUCAGAUACGCUACUACUUAAUUCAGGUUCUGAAAUGGGGAUUUCAUGCUAAUCCAAAUCUAAUUAAUUAGAAAAUGAAAAUGAAAACUCACCAGGUGCCAUGUAACCAUAGGACCCUGCAAAUUGUGGGUUCGCCGAGAACGAACCCUGCUCAUCUUCAACCAGCCUAGCCAACCCGAAAUCUGCUAAACACGCCUCGUAUCUGUCUCCAAGUAAAAUAUUAUGGGCUUUCACAUCCCGGUGCAAGAUCGCCGGUACGCAGUCAUGAUGUAAAUAGGCUAAUCCCUCCGCCACGCCCAAUGCUAUCUUGAACCUUGUCUCCCACUCUAUUAGUCCAACACUUCCUUCAUGUAACAAUUCUCCUAAUGUGCCAUUACUCAAGUAAUCAUAAAACAGUAAUUUCGUUUUCCGAUUAGCUCCCCACCCCAAUAACCGUACGAUAUUUCGGUGUCGAAUUCUCGCCAAUGUCGCAAUCUCGGAUGAAAAUGAUGCUGCCGCGAUUUUCUCUGCUGACUUGAAUCUUUUAACGGCCACCGUCGUACCGGACGGGAGGGUCACCUUAUAAACGACGCCGGAUCGCCCGCGUCCUAUGACAUUGUCGGCUGUCAAGGAUCGUGCCACGUCUUCAAUUGACAAGUCGAGUUUCUGGUAUAAAGUCACCUCCCAUGGUGGGCCCAUCUCAAUGUCGGUAUCGCUGUUGAGAUCGUAAUCGCGGGACCCGUGACGUCGUUUUUUGCCCGCAAGGAUAAUAUAGAGCGCCGCCAGUAGGAGCGCACAUGCGGUGCAAAGUAGCACCACCAUAGCCACACGCGCCGCCGUCACGUGUUUCAUGCGCUUGCCAUUAGCACUGGUGCACUGAUUGCCGGGGAAGCAUAACUCGGGGUUGCCGGAGAGGACGCUGAGGGGUAGCUUCGAGAAGAAUGGUGUGUCCGGUACUAGCCCUGACAAAUUAUUGUGCGAGACAUUGAGAACGACGAGAUUUUGCAGGUUUGCGAGAUACCUCAGAUCGCCGGAGAGCUGGUUGUGAGAGAGAUCCAGGAUCCCAAGCUUAUCUAACUCCGUGAACUCUUCCGGAAUCUGACCAGUGAGUUGGUUACAGCUCAGAUUCAAUGCAAUUUCCAGCGAUGGAAUCUUUGCCACGCUCGACGGAAUAUUACCUGAGAGCUGGUUGCUGCUCAGGUCCAAUAACUGUAGCUUGGAGCAGGAACCAAGUUGAUUCGGAAUCGAUCCUGAGAACCGAUUCUUGGCCAGAAUGAGUUUGGUGAGUGAAUGCAGCGAGCCAACACUUGGACUCAAAGUGCCGUCGAUCAGGUUAUCAGAAAAAUCAACUAAUUGCAGUGAAACAAGUUCGCUUAAACUUUGUGGCAAGUUACCAGAAAUAGAAUUUGAAUGCAAAUCCAAGAACGUGAGAUUCUGACAACCAGAGAAUUCCUCUGGUGUAACUCCGGUGAGACGAUUGGAUCCGAGAUCCAAAAAGUUCAAGUUCUUCAAGUUUCCAAUCUGCGGUGGAAUUGAUCCAGUGAGCUUAUUGUCGUUGGCCCUAAAUCGAAUGAGCGAGGAGCAAUUCCCAAUAUCGGGCGGAAUUUCACCGGAGAGAUUGUUGGAGAGGAGCAACAGUUUGUUGAGUUGCUUAAGCUGAAAUAUUCCCUUGGGAAUGGGGCCCAUAAGGCCGUUUUGAGACAAAUCGAUAGCCUCCAAAUUGUGACAGUUGGAAAGGGUAGUUGGUAUAUUGCCCUCAAGCUUGUUCUGCCACAGGAACAACAGCGUCAGAUUUGAUAAGUUACCCAAUUCAGGAGGAAUUGCACCGGUGAUCUGAUUGUUGUCGAGCUCUAUGUGUGUGAUCUUCUGGCAGUUUCCCAGCAGAUUGGGGAUUUCGCCGGAGAUUUGAUUGACACUUAGUUGAAGUUCUUGGAGUUCAGUUAAAUUGCCAAAUGAUUGAGGUAUAGCUCCGGUUAGUGAAUUCAUGGAUAUAUCGAUGACCAGCAUUUGGUUGCAGUUUCCUAGCUCUGGCGGGAUGAUGCCAACAAGGUUGUUCUGCCAGAGCAAUAGGUUUUUCAGAUUUGGGAGAUUGCCUAAUGUGUUUGGAAUGGAUCCGGUGAGAGAGUUUUCAUAAAGAUAGAUGUUUUCCAGUUGGGUGCAGUAGCCGAGUUCUGGAGGGAUUUGGCCAGAAAGGAGGGAAGUAUAGAUGGCAAUGGUUUGGAGUUUCUUUAAGAGGCCCAGACUUGGGGGGAGAAAACCUGAUAUGCUUGUUUCUGCGAGCCCUAGCAGCACCAAGUUGCUGCAGUUGCCAAUUUCUUGAGGCAAUGGGCCUUCAAGAUUCUUGUUGCCACCUGCUCUAAUUACUUGAAGAUUCUUUAACUUGCCUAUGUUGUAUGAUAGGCCACCACUAAGUUGGUUGUCAUAGAGGAUGAGCCAUUUCAAUCUUGUCAGAUUUCCGAUUUCGGCUGGAAUUGAGCCUUCAAGUUUAUUGGAGUUGAGAUAUAAUUCUUCAAGCUUGAGCAAGUUGCAGAGCUCACUUGGGAUUUCACCUGUUAAGGCAUUGUCGCUCAAGUCCAAGCUUGUCAACUGGGAAAGACCUCCAAUCUCUUUUGGGAUGGAACCAGUAAGGUUGGUUCCGGAUAAAAUGAGCUUGUUCAAGGAAAACAGUGAGGUGAAAUUGGAGGGCACGUUUCCAAACAAAUCCACAUACCUCAAUUCCAAUGCCACCACUUGAUUGUUAAAAUUGCAAAUGACUCCAAACCAUUCGCAGGGAGUUUCAUCGGUAGCCUCCCAAUUACUCAAGACCUCAGGCAAUCCGUUGAAGCAUGUCUUCCAUGAGAGAAGAGUUUGGCCUUGUUGAUUAACGGCGAAAGUUGCAAAAGGAAAAGGAAAUAGGAGGACAAAAGAGAGGAUGGAGAAGGAGAAGAAGGUCCAUGGAUUUACAGGCAUUACAGCUAUGCUACGAACUCCAAUGAAAGGAACAGAAAGAAAGGUUUGAGCCUAGGGAGUGACAAUGGGAGAAACCAAAUCAUGUCUUGCGGGCUCUAUGUUUUGUCAAAUUUGUAUAAAAUAGAAGUGCAUUGUAUAAACAAAUUGAAAGAAACCCAUAAUCUCGGGAUCCAAGAAACAGCUAGGCCAUGAUGUUUGUGCAGAGAUUAAUGGAAUUUUAGAUGGGUGUUUUAGGCAUUUGUUUCUGGUGGAGAGGUGGGGAGGGAGGAUAACUGUAUUUUAAUUUGAAUGGGUGGGUGAGUGAGUGAGUGAGUGACUUUGUCUAUAGUUUUUUAGUAUAAGCUUUUUAUCUUUUUAUCUGUGGCCUUGGACUAAAU